ACCCUUCAGAUUCCCAACCCCUCAGAUCUAAACAUCGGUCUGAGUGACUAUAAAAGGAGGGGAAAUAAAACAGAAACGGACUUGGAUUCUCUAGUGACAUAUAAGUUCAUUUCACAUGAAC
RNAcentral lists this small nucleolar RNA (121 nucleotides) under Echinops telfairi (small Madagascar hedgehog). RNAcentral's name for it is "Small nucleolar RNA SNORA61 (ENSETEG00000025100.1)". Lineage: Eukaryota; Metazoa; Chordata; Mammalia; Afrosoricida; Tenrecidae. The record is from RNAcentral.